This 498-nucleotide ribosomal RNA is filed under the name uncultured bacterium. RNAcentral describes it as "partial 16S ribosomal RNA". It matches the Rfam family "Bacterial small subunit ribosomal RNA", at positions 28 to 507 of the family's 1533-position model. The record is from RNAcentral.
GACGAACGCUGGCGGCGUGCCUAAUACAUGCAAGUCGAACGAGAGCGCCCGGUGCUUGCACUGGUCAAUCUAGUGGCGCACGGGUGAGUAACACGUGGGUAACCUGCCCAUCAGAGGGGGAUAACAUUCGGAAACGGAUGCUAAAACCGCAUAGGUCUUCGAACCGCAUGGUUUGAAGAGGAAAAGAGGCGCAAGCUUCUGCUGAUGGAUGGACCCGCGGUGCAUUAGCUAGUUGGUGAGGUAACGGCUCACCAAGGCCGUGAUGCAUAGCCGACCUGCGAGGGUGAUCGGCCACAUUGGGACUGAGACACGGCCCAAACUCCUACGGGAGGCAGCAGUAGGGAAUCUUACGCAAUGGACGCAAGUCUGACGGAGCAACGCCGCGUGAGUGAAGAAGGUUUUCGGAUCGUAAAACUCUGUUGUUAGAGAAGAACAAGUGCUAGAGUAACUGUUAGCGCCUUGACGGUAACUAACCAGAAAGCCACGGCUAACUACGUG